UUCUUUCAUGCUGUGCUUUAUAAGUGACACACCACUCCUCUCACAAAACUUUUAUGUAUGUCAAUGACAAAGGUACUUCAUAAACACAUAAAGGUAGGCUGUGAUACGCAGAAUGUUUAGAAUGUGUUUGCGUCGCCUCUCUGUGACCCUAAAUUCACCUUUCAGCCGUGAUUUAAAACGAGGUUAAAGGGCCAUAUCUUGAGAUUCACCGAGUCCCAUUGCCUUCCUGUUAUAGCGGUGUUCGGAGUUUACCGUCGAUGUAAGGACCCUAGCCAAUGAAAAUCGGUGUCAUCCCCUACUUUCCUGGAGGACCAACUCUGCAAACAGAAUGAGCUCCCUGGCGGUGUAAUCGUGGCUUAAAGAUAACUGAGGACUCUGGGGUGGUGCUGCUAAACGUUAGCCGCGGUGUGUGCGUUCAGCGGCGACUGAAACGCAGAACGGCGGUGGAUGUUUCCAUGUCUGGAUCACCAUUGACACUGGUCUUAAUUUUCAACCGAGUUAACGUGUUAACACGCGAAGCAGUGAUGGUCAAUGGCAGCAACUGGCCACAAGAGGGAGCCUUUGAAGAAAUGCAUUCAAUGAUUGGCGUCAGGCCGCAGUCCUCAGGUGAGUUCACAAGGGCAACUUUAUAUUUCUGUCUUUUAAUGUGCUGUUAAAUUAUGAUGUUAUGUUAUGUUUUUAUGCUUGUUUGGAGGGAGUUUGGGGAGGGUGGUCUAUUAAGUUAGAGCACCUGCAUUGUGUGCCAAGCCCCAGUAGGCUGGGAGCAAAAGCUAGCUAGCAGCUAGCUCUCCGUCCAUCCUACUCUUGUCAUUCCUCUGGGUCAGAAUAGAACCAAUGCAGAAAAUCUUUUCAA
Long non-coding RNA from Anguilla rostrata (American eel), 853 nucleotides. RefSeq lists it as uncharacterized. Lineage: Eukaryota; Metazoa; Chordata; Actinopteri; Anguilliformes; Anguillidae. The record is from RefSeq and is a predicted model, not a curated record. The transcript has 4 exons.